GUUACCGCCGGACCGCGGCGGGGAGCGCCGGGCAGCAGACGGCGGCCCGGCCCCGCACGGCGCGGCGUUAUGCUGGCCCGGCGCACCGAGGCGUUCCUACGGCUCCGCGGGCGCAUGGGCUGCGCCGCGUUUUCGCGGGCUUUUUCCUCACGGAGGGUUUCUGUCGCCUUCCCGUCCCUGCCAGCGAUGCCCUCCUCCGAGGCCGUGCUGCAGCCAUCCCCCAGCAAGAGGCAGAAGGGCUCGGUGCCCGGGGAGCCCACCGCACGGCUCCGCUUCACUAAGCUGUCUGAGAACGCCUUCGCCCCCUCCAGGGGCUCUGCUCGGGCUGCGGGCUACGAUCUGUACAGUGCCUAUGACUGUGAGAUACCACCCAUGGGAAAGGCUGUAGUGAAAACAGACAUUCAAGUUGCACUUCCUUCUGGAUGCUAUGGCCGAGUAGCACCACGUUCUGGUUUAGCUGCAAAGCACUUCAUAGAUGUUGGUGCUGGUGUUAUUGAUGAGGAUUACAGGGGAAACGUUGGUGUGGUACUCUUCAACUUUGGCAAGGAGACUUUUGAAGAGAAAUCGGUUCCUGGGACUAGUUCACAAAGGAGCUACAUCAUACAUAGAGCUCUCUUCAUCUCUGCAGUAUUUAUGCAUAAUGACACAAUAUACCACAGUAUGGCAGCAGGAACAAGGGGGAAUGCCUUGAGUGGUACUGCUGCAGAAACUUCACCUUAAAAGGACUUAAAAGCAAGUUUAUCUUAGCCUGUAUUUUUCUGUCACUAUUAACUUGUACCUAACUACGUUUCAAAUAAGUGUUUGCACUUUAGUACAUUCUGAUGCUCUCGAAAGGAGAUUGUCUAAACUUUUCAUUGCUGGUUCACUUUUUUGAAGCAACUAAUAUUUUAACUUCUUUGCAGUCAAAAAAGGGGAUAGGAUUGCCCAGCUCAUCUGUGAACGCAUUUACUAUCCUGAGCUGGAAGAAGUUCAAGCCCUGGAUGACACCGGACGUGGUGAAGGUGGCUUUGGUUCUACUGGAAAGAACUGAAAAUUAUUUGAAUAUGUAUUCAAAUUUUUUUUAAAGUUAUUUCUAAAUUUUCAUUUGAAAAAGAAGUGGGAUUUUGGUGUACAUUUAAAAAAAAGUUUCAUUCAGAUUUCUCUGUAUCUGUCCUGUCCAUUUUUAUAGGCAGUGACUUCAUCUGCAUUAUGGGGAAAUGUGCAUGACUAACUUGAUAGAUUAGUUCAUGUAUUAUUUUUUCUUUUUAGAUGUACAGUCUUUGGUUAUAAGAACUCAUUGCUUAUGUGCUGAUUAUAUUCUAAUAAAUGUAAAAAUAAAUUAAUAAUUUGAUUUUA
This is an RNA transcript of Strigops habroptila (Kakapo), 1335 nucleotides long. It is a transcript of the gene named deoxyuridine triphosphatase, with no coding region annotated. NCBI's taxonomy places the organism in Eukaryota, Metazoa, Chordata, Aves, Psittaciformes, Psittacidae. The transcript has 7 exons. The record is from RefSeq and is a predicted model, not a curated record.